Molecule: ribosomal RNA, 164 nt
Filed under: Pilea microphylla
Lineage: Eukaryota; Viridiplantae; Streptophyta; Magnoliopsida; Rosales; Urticaceae
Description: 5.8S ribosomal RNA
Rfam family: 5.8S ribosomal RNA
About the family: 5.8S ribosomal RNA (5.8S rRNA) is a component of the large subunit of the eukaryotic ribosome.
Source: RNAcentral
UCAAAACGACUCUCGGCAACGGAUAUCUCGGCUCUCGCAUCGAUGAAGAACGUAGCGAAAUGCGAUACGUGGUGUGAAUUGCAGAAUUCCGUGAAUCAUCGAGUUUUUGAACGCAAGUUGCGCCCAAAGCCAUUUGGUUGAGGGCACGCCUGCUUGGGCGUCAC